RNAcentral lists this ribosomal RNA (492 nucleotides) under uncultured bacterium. Its description in RNAcentral is "partial 16S ribosomal RNA". It matches the Rfam family "Bacterial small subunit ribosomal RNA", at positions 29 to 507 of the family's 1533-position model. The record is from RNAcentral.
AGUGAACGCUGGCGGUAGGCCUAACACAUGCAAGUCGAACGGCAGCACAGUAAGAGCUUGCUCUUACGGGUGGCGAGUGGCGGACGGGUGAGGAAUACAUCGGAAUCUACUUUUUCGUGGGGGAUAACGUAUGGAAACUUACGCUAAUACCGCAUACGACCUACGGGUGAAAGCAGGGGAUCUUCGUACCUUGCGCGAUUGAAUGAGCCGAUGUCGGAUUAGCUAGUUGGCGGGGUAAAGGCCCACCAAGGCGACGAUCCGUAGCUGGUCUGAGAGGAUGAUCAGCCACACUGGAACGGAGACACGGUCAAGACUCCUACGGGAGGCAGCAGUGGGGAAUAUUGGACAAUGGGCGCAAGCCUGAUCCAGCCAUACCGCGUGGGUGAAGAAGGCCUUCGGGUUGUAAAGACCUUUUGUUGGGAAAGAAAAGCAGCAGGUUAAGAACAAGCUGUUCUGACGGUACCCAAAGAAUAAGCACCGGCUAACUUCGUG